This 422-nucleotide ribosomal RNA is filed under the name uncultured bacterium. RNAcentral's name for it is "partial 16S ribosomal RNA". It matches the Rfam family "Bacterial small subunit ribosomal RNA", at positions 362 to 776 of the family's 1533-position model. The record is from RNAcentral.
UUUUUGACAAUGGGCGCGAGCCUGAUCCAGCCACGCCGCGUGAGUGAAGAAGGCCUCCGGGGUGUAAAGCACUUUCGGUCGGAAAGAAAACGCGCAGGCUAAUACCCUGCGCGGCUGACGGUACCGUCAUAAGAAGCACCGGCUAACUCCGUGCCAGCAGCCGCGGUACUACGUAGGGUGCGAGCGUUAAUCGGAGUUACUCGGGGUAAAGCAUGCGCAGGCGGUUGAUUAAGAAAGGCGUGAAAUACCCGGGCUUAACCAGCGGACUGCGCUUGUGACGAGUCAGCUAGAGUACGGCAGAGGGGGGUGGAAUUCCACGUGUAGCAGUGAAAUGCGUAGAGAUGUGGAGGAACACCGAUGGCGAAGGCAGCCCCCUGGGCCGAUACUGACGCUCAUGAAAGAAAGCGUGGGUAGCAAACAGG